RNAcentral lists this ribosomal RNA (559 nucleotides) under uncultured Glomus. RNAcentral's name for it is "SSU rRNA". It matches the Rfam family "Eukaryotic small subunit ribosomal RNA", at positions 546 to 1106 of the family's 1831-position model. Lineage: Eukaryota; Fungi; Glomeromycota; Glomeromycetes; Glomerales; Glomeraceae. The record is from RNAcentral.
AAUUGGAGGGCAAGUCUGGUGCCAGCAGCCGCGGUAAUUCCAGCUCCAAUAGCGUAUAUUAAAGUUGUUGCAGUUAAAAAGCUCGUAGUUGAAUUUCGGGGUCAGCAGGUUGGUCGUGCCAAUGGUAUGAACUGGCCUUGCUGAUUCCUCCCUCUUGAUGAGCCGUAAUGCCAUUAAUUUGGUGUUGCGGGGAAUCAGGACUGUUACUUUGAAAAAAUUAGAGUGUUUAAAGCAGGCAAGCGCUUGAAUACAUUAGCAUGGAAUAAUGAAAUAGGACGUUCGAUCCUAUUUUGUUGGUUUCUAGGAUUGACGUAAUGAUUAAUAGGGAUAGUUGGGGGCAUUAGUAUUCAAUUGUCAGAGGUGAAAUUCUUGGAUUUAUUGAAGACUAACUACUGCGAAAGCAUUUGCCAAGGAUGUUUUCAUUAAUCAAGAACGAAAGUUAGGGGAUCGAAGACGAUCAGAUACCGUCGUAGUCUUAACCAUAAACUAUGCCGACUAGGGAUCGGAUGAUGUUAAUUUUUUAAUGACUCAUUCGGCGCCUUACGGGAAACCAAAGUGU